CAUAAACCCUAGCCUCCCUCCUCUCCGCCUCUCUUCCCCUCCACCCGGCGACCUGCCCCCAGCCAAACCCUAGCUCCCCCUCCGGACUCCACAGCGGCGAGUCUCACCGGUUGCCGGUGGGGAGGAUGAGCAGGCGGUGGAGCCGGACGAUCUACGUGGGAAACCUCCCCGGCGACAUCCGGGAGAGGGAGGUGGAGGAUCUCUUCUACAAGUAUGGACGAAUUGUUGACAUUGACUUGAAGAUCCCUCCGAGGCCGCCAGGUUUUGCUUUUGUUGAGUUUGAAGAUCCCCGUGAUGCUGAAGAUGCAUGUGCUGGCAGGGAUGGCUAUAACUUUGAUGGACACCGUCUAAGGGUUGAACCUGCUCAUGGUGGGAGAGGUCAUGGUUCCUCCUACGACCGUCCCAGCAACUUUGGUGGUGGACGCCGUGGCGUUUCCAGGCACUCAGAAUACCGUGUUAUGGUUACUGGGUUGCCUUCUUCUGCAUCAUGGCAAGAUCUAAAGGACCAUAUGCGUAAGGCUGGUGAUGUUUGUUUCUCAGAAGUGUAUCGCGAAGGCAGUGGUACUGUAGGGAUUGUGGACUACACAAACUAUGAUGACAUGAAAUAUGCUAUAAAGAAGCUUGAUGACAGUGAAUUCAGGAACGCCUUUUCCCAUGGUCACAUAAGGGUGAAAGAAUAUGAUGGCAAGCGUGCCCGCUCUUAUUCACGUAGCCGGAGCCCAAGUCGUAGUCGAAGCAAAAGCAGGAGUCUAAGCAAAUCUCCUAGAGCUCGCCGUUCAGCAUCCCGAUCUCGAUCUCGAUCAAGGUCUGUUUCUUCCCGUUCACGGUCAGCAUCAAAAGGGCGUUCUCCAUCAAGGAUAUUGAGGAUGGUAUUUCCUCAAUUUGCUGUUGGUUGCGUGAGAGAUUUGGGCAUAGCGCGUUGUUUGGAAUUCUGGACAUAAGAGCAUUAAGGAUUGACGAUAUUUGGAUAAUGAUGGUACAAUGACUAGGAAUGUGCUUGGCGUUCAAUGCUUGAGGAAUAAGUUCUCUCCCUACCUCGGGCAUGAUUCAUAUGAUCGCCAGCAGCAUCCAAAUCUCCUAAUGCUUCUCCUGCAAAUGAAGCAUCAAGCCCCAAGAAACGGAGCCCAAGCAGGAGCCCAUCUCAUU
RNA transcript from Oryza brachyantha (malo sina), 1146 nucleotides. It is a transcript of the gene named serine/arginine-rich-splicing factor SR34-like, with no coding region annotated. The record is from RefSeq and is a predicted model, not a curated record. The transcript is spliced from 15 exons. Lineage: Eukaryota; Viridiplantae; Streptophyta; Magnoliopsida; Poales; Poaceae.